This 349-nucleotide ribosomal RNA is filed under the name Kryptoperidinium foliaceum. RNAcentral describes it as "partial Bacterial large subunit ribosomal RNA". It matches the Rfam family "Bacterial large subunit ribosomal RNA", at positions 1517 to 1874 of the family's 2925-position model. The record is from RNAcentral. Lineage: Eukaryota; Dinophyceae; Peridiniales; Kryptoperidiniaceae.
CGUCAAGGCUUGAAGUGAGUCAAAUGCUUGCUUCUAAAAGGCUGAGGCGUGAUGCGGAGCGAGAUAAAGUAGCGAAGGUCAUGAUGUCACACUGCCGAGAAAAGCUUCUAGCCAGAGAGAUAUUACCCGUACCGCAAACCGACACAGGUAGUCGAGGAGAGAAUCCUCAGGUGAGCGAGAGAACUCUCGUUAAGGAACUCGGCAAAAUGACCCCGUAACUUCGGGAGAAGGGGUGCUGAUCUCCGGAUCAGCCGCAGUGAAUAGGCCCAAACAACUGUUUAUCAAAAACACAGGUAUCUGCAAAACCGUAAGAUGACGUAUAGGUGCUGACACCUGCCCGGUGCUGGAA